Molecule: ribosomal RNA, 254 nt
Filed under: uncultured bacterium
Lineage: Bacteria
Description: partial 16S ribosomal RNA
Rfam family: Bacterial small subunit ribosomal RNA
Source: RNAcentral
GACGAACCGUGCGAACGUUGUUCGGAAUCACUGGGCUUAAAGGGCGCGUAGGCGGGCUGCCAAGUCUGGGGUGAAAUCCCACGGCUCAACCGUGGAACGGCCUGGGAUACUGGCGGCCUCGAGGGAGGUAGGGGCAUGCGGAACUAUGGGUGGAGCGGUGAAAUGCGUUGAUAUCCAUAGGAACUCCGGUGGCGAAGGCGGCGUGCUGGACCUCUUCUGACGCUGAUGCGCGAAAGCCAGGGGAGCGAACGGGG